This 292-nucleotide ribosomal RNA is filed under the name uncultured bacterium. RNAcentral describes it as "partial 16S ribosomal RNA". It matches the Rfam family "Bacterial small subunit ribosomal RNA", at positions 505 to 796 of the family's 1533-position model. The record is from RNAcentral.
GUGCCAGCAGCCGCGGUAAUACGGAGGGUGCGAGCGUUGUUCGGAAUUAUUGGGCGUAAAGCGCGUGUAGGCGGUUUGUUAAGUCUGAUGUGAAAGCCCUGGGCUCAACCCAGGAAGUGCAUUGGAUACUGGCAGACUUGAAUACGGGAGAGGGCAGUGGAAUUCCUGGUGUAGGAGUGAAAUCCGUAGAUAUCAGGAGGAACACCGGUGGCGAAGGCGGCUGCCUGGACCGAUAUUGACGCUGAGACGCGAAAGCGUGGGUAGCAAACAGGAUUAGAAACCCCGGUAGUCC